Molecule: unclassified non-coding RNA, 410 nt
Filed under: Hevea brasiliensis (rubber tree)
Lineage: Eukaryota; Viridiplantae; Streptophyta; Magnoliopsida; Malpighiales; Euphorbiaceae
Source: RNAcentral
GCCGCUGCACAGCCAUUGGAAUCAAUCUUUCCUCUUAGACGGGCUUGUCUAAGGAUGUAAUCAUAACCAACACUUGCUGUCACAUCUCUUGACAUGUAGUUGUACAUGAAGUCUGUCGCUAGUGAAACCUUCUCAGAAACCUUCUGAACAUAGCUCAAAGCAACCAUUCCAGUGCUAGCAACUUGCCCUGUUGCAACCAUCUUAUCUGUCUCAUAUCGACCAGCAUAUCCAAGACCAGACUUUCUAUGUUGACCAGCCCAAAAUACUUCACCACCCAAAGACAAAUGUGGGGUCACACUCUGAAUGUAACUGGCUCCAAAUAAGGCUCCGUUUCCUAGUUGAAGCUGGGUCCUGUAGUCUUUACCCUUAUAAUCAAAGUUGAACAUGGCAUGUGACAUAUGGGGCUCAUU